ACGCCCGUCCAGCUCUGCUCCUCCCGCGCCGCCGCCGCCGCCGCCGCCUCCUGCACGCGCCUCGAGAUCGCGCGCUGCACCGCCCACUGGAAGGCGCGCGUCAGCCGUCGUCUGAGGUCCUCCAGCAGCGGGCUGGCGGCGAGGGCCUCCUCCUGGAUGUCCGUGCUCCUGCCGUCCCCGAAGAAGUCGCACGCGGGACGAGGUGGGAACCAAAGCUCCGCUCUACCUGGGAGUCCCUGGAGCCCCUGGGAAAUUCUCUCUCUGCAGCGGCGGAAGUCCCCGGGGCCCAUCGCGGAGACGCCUGGUCACUGCUCUACCGCUGCUGCUGAAACAGGCAAAGCAAAUUGAAGAAUUGGAGCACUGAAUAUAACAUCCACAGACAUUUGAAUUAGAAAAUGUAUUAAUUAUUUAUUGCUGCAUAACAAAUUACUCCAAAAUUCAAUGGUU
Molecule: long non-coding RNA, 447 nt
Filed under: Homo sapiens (human)
Lineage: Eukaryota; Metazoa; Chordata; Mammalia; Primates; Hominidae
Description: HSALNT0142407
Source: RNAcentral